Long non-coding RNA from Pollicipes pollicipes, 869 nucleotides. RefSeq lists it as uncharacterized. The transcript has 4 exons. The record is from RefSeq and is a predicted model, not a curated record. Lineage: Eukaryota; Metazoa; Arthropoda; Thecostraca; Pollicipedomorpha; Pollicipedidae.
AAUAUGUCAAUAGCAAGCUUUUAUGCCUUGACAAAAAUUAGGAACACAUUCAAGGUUUACUUUCAGGAUGUGCUCCAACCAGCUGCAGAUGUGGGGGGAUAUACAAGAAAUGAUGGAGCCAAAAUACAUUUUUUUCAGGAAAGUGCCUUGAGUGGCUUCACAGCAGUUUCCACAUAUGUGCCCUCCACAGUCAUGCGUACUGCUGGUUGUGGCAGUAAGUGCUGCCAUCUACAAAAAUUCAUCACCGCUUAUUCCACUUUUUACCGCUAGGUGGCAGAACUUAUGGUGCGACACCGGUCGACAGAGCUCAGGGUAGCACGCGACCUCGUCAUCAUUGCCAUCCUUCCUCCAGAUCCCUUUGGCCAUGCGGGGCCGUGGACGCCCUCACCAAGUGAUUAAGGACGGCGACCUGGUGCCCUGCAGCACCUGUGGCAAGCGGCUGACAAAGCAUAAUCUGCCAAGACACGCCAGAUCCCAGCACCAGGUCGGCCCGAAAAAGCUUCGAGGUUUUGUGCAGAAAUGUGUAAGAGCGGAGGCGAAGUCAGUUCGUCAGAAGAGGUAUGAGGAGGGUGCGGUUAAGGACUUGUUGAUAUCACAGCCCGACAGCGGAGGACCCGACGGUCCGUCGACGUCGCGCGGUGUUGCGUCUGGGCAUCUGGAUGGUCGUCUGGAGGAGGACGGACCUGCGGUCGUCAGCGGUGCUUUGAGUGGCGGUCCAGCACAGAUGCCUGACAGCCAUAUCAUCCCUGCGCCUGCUGAUGAGGAUCAGCCUGUGUUGAAGAGGGGGAGGGAUGGUGAUGACAAUGAUCAGCAGAAGCAAGAAUACAAAAAGAUCAAGAUGCCAAUCAGCCAGAUCACGCCUACGCCUG